AGGCUUUAGUGAGUAAUGAUCCAAGUGAAUUAAUGGUUGCAGAUUUUGUUUUUCCAAAGAGUAAUUAGUGUAGAAUAUCUUAACAUGGGAUUCAGAGCCACAUGGCCCAUCCUGAUUGGAUUUCAAGCGAAGACAAAAAGACGUGAGAUGCGAGUGGUUAGUCCGAUGUAAACCCACCCGGAUCGGGUCGGGUCGGGUGUCAGCGGGAUCCGCGGGGGAUGGGUGGGAAAGGGAAGAAUCACGCCCACACGUCCUGGUUUCAGAUUCAACCUACAUCUCUCUCUUCUUCCCAUGCGGUCAACACACACAUUACUCUCCUCUCUCUCUCUUCGUGAUUACUAAACUAC
Arabidopsis thaliana (thale cress) is the source of this 347-nucleotide long non-coding RNA. RefSeq annotates it as other RNA. The transcript has a single exon. The record is from RefSeq. Lineage: Eukaryota; Viridiplantae; Streptophyta; Magnoliopsida; Brassicales; Brassicaceae.